CCUACGGGAGGCAGCAGUGAGGAAUAUUGGUCAAUGGGCGGAAGCCUGAACCAGCCACGUCGCGUGAGGGAAUAAGGCCCUACGGGUCGUAAACCUCUUUUGCCGGGGAGCAAGGGCCGGGACGUGUCCCGGCCCGGAGAGUACCCGGAGUACAAGCAUCGGCUAACUUCGUGCCAGCAGACGCGGUAAUACGGAGGAUGCGAGCUUUAUCCGGCUUUAUUGGGUUUGAAGGGCGCGUAGGCGGGCUUUUAACUCAGCGGUAAAAAUUCGGGGCUCAACCCCGUCCGGCCAUUGAAACUGGGGGCCUUGAGUGGGCGAGAGGAAGGCGGAAUGCGUGGUGUAGCGGUGAAAUGCAUAGAUAUCACGCAGAACCCCGAUUGCGAAGGCAGCCUUCCGGCGCCCUACUGACGCUGAGGCACGAAAGUGCGGGGAUCGAACAGGAUUAGAUACCCGUGUAGUC
Molecule: ribosomal RNA, 460 nt
Filed under: uncultured bacterium
Lineage: Bacteria
Description: partial 16S ribosomal RNA
Rfam family: Bacterial small subunit ribosomal RNA
Source: RNAcentral